GGCAGUGACAGUGGCUUGUCACCUCUUGACUAUCAGCAGCACUCUCACUGACACGAUCACAUCUCAAUCCAAAUACAGGCACUUUUAGGCUUUAUUGGGUCUUUAUUUUUAUGUUCUGUUUUGUGUCGCAGAAAUUUAAAAAAAAAAAUUUUGUGUGUGUGUGCAUUAGACAUGUUCAAUGCUCUCUACAACUGAUCAACAGAGAGCAUUUGUGCUUUUCUGCUUGGCUGAGUGCAGUCUGCAGAUGCCUGCUUUAUCCCUGGCAUAUGCUAAAAUUCUGCCCAACAUUAGACAGCGUGCAUGACCAAAUUCCAGCUUUACUUAGACAGUGGCAGGCUUCUUCCAAACAGGAUGCAGACACGGAGAUAGCGACACACUACAUCAACAGAAUGGCCGAUGGCAAAAGAGAAGACAGAAGGUCAAAUGGAUCUGGAACAACCUGAGGGACUGUUUCGAGGAAUGGAGGACAAGAUGAGAGAAAGCUCCAAGAUGAGAGCGUCUCAGCAAGAAACACAGAGCAACGUUGAACUCUUUAUGCCCAUAUAGCCACUUCCUGUUAGUUUGCUGAACGAUCUGACUGAUCUGAACAGACAAGUGGAACUUGAAGAAAAAUCCCAGCAUUUAUCAGAAGGAAUGGAGUCUGUUAAAGUUUUGAUGCCUUCAGACAGAAUUAAAGGGACAGUUCAC
Myxocyprinus asiaticus (Chinese sucker) is the source of this 687-nucleotide long non-coding RNA. RefSeq lists it as uncharacterized. NCBI's taxonomy places the organism in Eukaryota, Metazoa, Chordata, Actinopteri, Cypriniformes, Catostomidae. The record is from RefSeq and is a predicted model, not a curated record. The transcript is spliced from 3 exons.